This 406-nucleotide ribosomal RNA is filed under the name uncultured bacterium. RNAcentral describes it as "partial 16S ribosomal RNA". It matches the Rfam family "Bacterial small subunit ribosomal RNA", at positions 30 to 525 of the family's 1533-position model. The record is from RNAcentral.
AUUGAACGCUGGCGGCAUGCCUAACACAUGCAAGUCGAGCGGAGCUGCGGACGGGUGAGUAAUGCCUAGUAAUCUGCCUGUUAGUGAGGGAUAACGUCCGGAGACGGGCUCUAAUACCGCAUGCUAUCAGAUGAGCCUAGGUCGGAUUAGCUAGUUGGUGGGGUAAAGGCCUACCAAGGCGACGAUCCGUAACUGGUCUGAGAGGAUGAUCAGUUACAAUGGAACUGAGACACGGUCCAGACUCCUACGGGAGGAAGGGGUGGGGAAUAUUGGAAAAUGGGCGAAAGCCUGAUCCAACCAGGCCGGGUGGGUGAAGAAGUUUUGCGGAUUGUAAAGCACUUUAAGUUGGGAGGCGUUACCAACAGAAUAAGCACCGGCUAACUCCGUGCAAGCAGCGGGGGAAUUU